Small nuclear RNA from Cricetulus griseus (Chinese hamster), 106 nucleotides. Lineage: Eukaryota; Metazoa; Chordata; Mammalia; Rodentia; Cricetidae. The record is from Ensembl.
CAAGGGCUAGAGUGCUUGCUUUAGCAACAUUAGAGUGAUACAGAGAAAAUUAGUAUGGUCUCUGCACAAGGAUUAUCUACAAAUUUGUGAAUUGUUCUAUAUUUAG